GUUUGAUCCUGGCUCAGGAUGAACGCUGGCGGCGUGCUUAACACAUGCAAGUCGAACGGUGAAGCCCAGCUUGCUGGGUGGAUCAGUGGCGAACGGGUGAGUAACACGUGAGCAACCUGCCCCUGACUCUGGGAUAAGCGCUGGAAACGGCGUCUAAUACUGGAUACGAGACGUGACCGCAUGGUCGACGUUUGGAAAGAUUUUUCGGUUGGGGAUGGGCUCGCGGCCUAUCAGCUUGUUGGUGAGGUAAUGGCUCACCAAGGCGUCGACGGGUAGCCGGCCUGAGAGGGUGACCGGCCACACUGGGACUGAGACACGGCCCAGACUCCUACGGGAGGCAGCAGUGGGGAAUAUUGCACAAUGGGCGAAAGCCUGAUGCAGCAACGCCGCGUGAGGGACGACGGCCUUCGGGUUGUAAACCUCUUUUAGCAAGGAAGAAGCGAAAGUGACG
Molecule: ribosomal RNA, 451 nt
Filed under: Microbacterium sp. IGS19
Lineage: Bacteria; Bacillati; Actinomycetota; Actinomycetes; Micrococcales; Microbacteriaceae
Description: bacterial SSU rRNA
Rfam family: Bacterial small subunit ribosomal RNA
Source: RNAcentral